AUUGAACGCUGGCGGCAUGCCUUACACAUGCAAGUCGAACGGCAGCACGGGUGCUUGCACCUGGUGGCGAGUGGCGAACGGGUGAGUAAUACAUCGGAACGUACCUUAUCGGGGGGGAUAACGCAGCGAAAGUUGCGCUAAUACCGCAUACGCCCUGAGGGGGAAAGCGGGGGACCGUAAGGCCUCGCGCGAUUAGAGCGGCCGAUGUCUGAUUAGCUUGUUGGUGAGGUAAAAGCUCACCAAGGCGAUGACCAGUAGCUGGUCUGAGAGGACGAUCAGCCACACUGGGACUGAGACACGGCCCAGACUCCUACGGGAGGCAGCAGUGGGGAAUUUUGGACAAUGGGGGCAACCCUGAUCCAGCAAUGCCGCGUGAGUGAAGAAGGCCUUCGGGUUGUAAAGCUCUUUUGUCAGGGAAGAAACAGCAGCUCUAACACAGUCUACGAAUGACGGUACCUGAAGAAUAAGCACCGGCUAACUACGUGCCAGCCGCCGCAGUAA
Molecule: ribosomal RNA, 501 nt
Filed under: uncultured bacterium
Lineage: Bacteria
Description: partial 16S ribosomal RNA
Rfam family: Bacterial small subunit ribosomal RNA
Source: RNAcentral